This 778-nucleotide long non-coding RNA is filed under the name Ursus maritimus (polar bear). Its description in RNAcentral is "lncRNA (ENSUMAG00000008869.1)". Lineage: Eukaryota; Metazoa; Chordata; Mammalia; Carnivora; Ursidae. The record is from RNAcentral.
GACAAAACCAUUCAUUUGUGCAGUGACCUUAGAGAAAACUAGUGUGGUGCAGUGGUGGUGGCAGAGUCGAGGCUGCAGGGAAUUAAUGAAGCAGGGACUGGUAAAGUAGCAGAAGAGGAGUGUUGGGUGGAGGCCUCUGAGAACUCCCACAUCCGUCAGGGACUGGGCCGGGCCAGGAGUCAACAGCUUCUGCAAAAGAACGAGCUUCCACCAGGGCCUGUUUAGCUCUGCCUACACAGCCCUCUGUUGACUUUCAUUCUGGAGUGUGAGCUAACACCACAGUUUGCGUUUAGGCUGUUUGGGGGCUCUCCUGGACAAGACAAAUGAGACUUUUAGAAGAAAACAUGAGUAAUCUACCAACGUGGGGAAAUCUGAGGAACUAAAAUCAGUCUGACGGUGGCUGCACAAGAUGGGAAGGAAUAAUCAUUGAAAUUAGACCCAAGGAAGAAUGCAUGAAGUAUGCCUGCUCUCAGCCGCCAGUGUCAGAACAGCUCAGAUCCAAGGAGCAUACGUUUGACCUCAGAUGAAUUCUGGAGUGUUUUCCUGUAGAAGAGCUUGCUCCAGGUCACUCCUGUCUAGAGCCCAGAUUCUGAGGAAGAGUCACAGGGAGAAUCCGGCAGAGGAUCCCCUCCCCCAACCCCAGCCUGUGCUUAAUUAAGUGAGUGGCUUAAGGGACUUGCCUCCUCUUCAAGAUUAAGAGAAUUCCCUCAGUUUCACAUCCCUUGGAAAUCUCACGUUCACGAAAGGUUCUCAUCAUAUGCCAGGUGCUCCAUGAAAC